RNAcentral lists this ribosomal RNA (253 nucleotides) under uncultured bacterium. RNAcentral's name for it is "partial 16S ribosomal RNA". It matches the Rfam family "Bacterial small subunit ribosomal RNA", at positions 524 to 776 of the family's 1533-position model. The record is from RNAcentral.
UACGUAGGGCGCAAGCGUUGUCCGGAAUUAUUGGGCGUAAAGAGCUCGUAGGCGGUUUGUUGCGUCGGCUGUGAAAUCCCGAGGCUCAACCUCGGGUCUGCAGUCGAUACGAGCAAACUAGAGUGUUGCAGGGGAGACUGGAAUUCCUGGUGUAGCGGUGAAAUGCGCAGAUAUCAGGAGGAACACCGGUGGCGAAGGCGGGUCUCUGGGCAACAACUGACGCUGAGGAGCGAAAGCAUGGGGAGCGAACAGG